Molecule: long non-coding RNA, 1544 nt
Organism: Mya arenaria
Lineage: Eukaryota; Metazoa; Mollusca; Bivalvia; Myida; Myidae
Exons: 3
Source: RefSeq, a predicted model, not a curated record
UGUUUUUUAACCACUUUCUUUCGUAUUGUUUAUUACUUUUGGUGUUAUCUCCCGUAGUUGUCAUGAGCUAUUUUUUAACCCAAAUUUGAGGAUGUAGGUCAAGCUGAACCAAAGGCAUUUACAUCAUAUUAGGAAUUUGUUGGUCAAGCACCUGCUGUACAUAGAACAACAAUCCAUUACAGCUUUGACUAUGCCGAGAAGGUCUUCUACCCAUACUAGGCACAGCAAGAGUGCCCUGCUUUGAAGUGUUCUGUCAAUCAUAUGGUUCACAGAUAUCUCAGUGAUAAGGGUUUAGCUGUUAUGUGGCCAAUGGUGUGGUACCUCAUUUUCAACAUCAUCCAUAUAGAGAAGACUCUGCAUACCUGCACAUUGACAACUGUGUUGGGUGGAAUAACAAGAGGGCCAAAUGGCCCUGAAUCGCUCACCUGUCAUAUAUUGCACAUUGGUUUGAUAAGAAAUCUGGAUGGUUCAAAGUAGUUAAGUUUUUUUAGAAGUCUGGGUCAUUUUUUACCCCAAUGCCAAAGUUUGGACAAUAAAGGUAGAGGUCCACUUAAUGAUGUAUUAUGCCAAAUAGCUCUAGUCCUUGUGAAUUCGGAGAGAAUUUUUUUUUUAUGCUUCUAUUAUAUACAAAUAUUGAAAACCUAAGCCUAUUAACACGGGGCGUGGCCAAUUUUGACCCCAGGGCUAAAGUUUGAACAAUCUUAAUAGUGGUCCAAUAAAUGAUGCUUCAUACCAAAUAUCUAAGGCCUUCGCCUUUUGGUUUCGGAGAAGAAGUUUUCAUCAUAUACAUAUAUAAGGAAACCCAUGACCGCCCGGGUGGGGCCAUUUUUUGACCCCAGGGCCAAAGAUUGAACAAUAUUGGUACAAGUCAACUAGAUGAUAUAUCAUGCCAAAUAUCUAAGCUCUUGUCACUACUUGAUUUUACGUGUGUAUCUAUAUAUGUAUAUUUGUUAUUAAUUGUUGUAUGUGGCCCAUAUUGAAAAUUGGUAUGUGUACUAAAUAUGUUAUCCAGUUUAAAUUAAGACGUUACUUGUCUUUGUGAGUUCGGAGAAGAUUUUUUAAGUUUUCACUAUAACAGAUAUAGAGAAAACCCAUCAGCCCCUGGGUGUGGCCAAUUUUGACCCCAGGGCCAUAAUUUGAACAAAUUUUGUAGAGGUCCACAAGACGAUGAAUCAUGCCAAAUAUCUAAGCUCUAAGCCACGUAAGUUCAGAGGAGAUGAUUUUUGAAGUUUUCACUAUAAACAUAUAGAGAAAACCCAUGACCCCCCAAGGGGGCGGGGCCAAUUUAGACCCCAAGGCCAUAAUUUGAACAAUCUUUGUAGAGGUCCACUAGACGAUGAAUCAUGCCAAAUAUCUAAGCUCUAGUCCAAGUAAGUUCAAAGGAGAAGAUUUUUGAAGUUUUAAUUAUAAACAUAUAUAGAAUACCCUAACCCCCCGGGGCGGGGCCAAUUUUGACCCCAAGGCCAUAAUUUGAACAAUCUUUGUAAAGGUCCACUAGACGAUGAAUCAUGCCAAAUAUCUAAGCUCUAGUCCAAGUAAGUUCA